GACGAACGCUGGCGGCGUGCUUAACACAUGCAAGUCGAGCGGAAAGGCCUGCUUUCCCUUGUGGAUUGCGGGUACUCGAGUGGCGAACGGGUGAGUAACACGUGAGUGAUCUGCCCCCAACUUGGGUAUAAGCCUGGGAAACUGGGUCUAAUUCCCGAUAGGACUGCAGGGUGGUGCCUGUGGUGGAAAACGAUUUUCUAGUGGUUGGGGAUGAGCUCGCGGCCUAUCAGCUUGUUGGUGGGGUAAUGGCCUACCAAGGCGGCGACGGGUAGCCGGCCUGAGAGGGUGGACGGCCACAUUGGGACUGAGAUACGGCCCAGACUCCUACGGGAGGCAGCAGUGGGGAAUAGUGCACAAUGGGCGGAAGCCUGAUGCAGCGACGCCGCGUGGGGGAUGACGGCCUUCGGGUUGUAAACUCCUUUCGACCGCGAGGAAGCCACCUGGUUGGAAGGGUGGUGACGGUAGUGGUAGAAGAAGCACCGGCUAGCUACGUG
This 494-nucleotide ribosomal RNA is filed under the name uncultured bacterium. RNAcentral describes it as "partial 16S ribosomal RNA". It matches the Rfam family "Bacterial small subunit ribosomal RNA", at positions 28 to 507 of the family's 1533-position model. The record is from RNAcentral.